Long non-coding RNA from Neofelis nebulosa (Clouded leopard), 9122 nucleotides. RefSeq lists it as uncharacterized. The record is from RefSeq and is a predicted model, not a curated record. The transcript is spliced from 3 exons. NCBI's taxonomy places the organism in Eukaryota, Metazoa, Chordata, Mammalia, Carnivora, Felidae.
CUUGCCACUUAUUCCCUACUUUACCAGUAAAGAAAAAAAUGAACGCUCUUUCUAGCAAGUAAACUGAAUUUUAUCUUCUGUUCUCUUCUCCUCCGUACCAGUUCCCAAGAAUUCUGAACAAAAGAACAGGACAGAAUAUUUUUAAACCCAGAUUUGCUUGAGAAUUCUUCCUGAUUAUUUUUAAGCCCUGGACAAAGGAACUAAUAUUUUUAAGGUUACAGUAAAGGCAGUUAAAUGUAGUCAUAAAAAUUAAGCAUGUCUCAGUUGAUAGGUUAAAGAAACAAAAAACUAUAAAACUGAGUAUUGCUCCACUUUUACACAUUCUGCUUUAAAAUGCCGUAUUGCUUUUUUCCAGUCCCUGAAAUAAUAUCCUUUGCUUUUUACACCUAUCUUGGAAGAUCUCAUUGAUGAAGCUAUAAGGCACAAGUGUCUGGUAACUUAAGGUUUAUGUCUUGGGGAUCAGGCUCCUUCACAUACUGACUGCAGGGGAGACAGCUCGCAUGGAGACUGCCUCAAAUGUUUAGUAGAAGAAUUAAGUGAAAACAUAAGGAUUUUUCAUCUGCUCUGAAACAUGGUGUGUAGUAACCAGUCUUUUGGUUAUAGACUUGGGAGAAAUACAUUAACCGAAUGGGCCAGGAAACCACAAUUUCAAUUGAAGAGCUAUUUUUGAGGGCAAUAAUGAGUAGUAAAGAGCCAAAAGGAAGUUGGCUGCUUCAGAAGCAAGAAAACAACUAAAACACUAUUAUGUGUGUUAGAAAUGGCUAACUUGAUAUUUAAAUCACUUAAGUGUUAAUCAGCACAAACACUUCUGAAAGAGCUGCCAAGUGAAGGUCAAUGAGAAAGCAAGGUGAUCACAUCCCCAAAGUAUGGUCAACUAUAAAAGUACUGACUAACCUCACAGAUACCGCUCGUGCCACGGCCUCAAGUGUGGUUUCUGUGGGUGGGAUUCCAGAAUAUGCCUAUGGAAAACUGGCAAAUGCCAAAUUUGUUUUGUUUGGCAGAUAUUUCCAAAAUAUUAUAAAUUCCCCUACAGUUAGCAUUUCUACUACAUUCUAAGCCUACAAGAAUUCUCAAGACUUGCAUGGUUUGGUGCUGUGACUCACUAGAGUGGUGAGUACCCAUAGAAGUGUUCUAUGUGUUUUCAGUCAUCUAUAGUUGUAUUUACAACUGUGAGAAAAUGGCAACGAUUGGGAUUUUUUUUUCUUUCUAACAUCUAUGUGUACUGUGUCAAAACCAUUAGCAUAUGCUAAAACAUGCAUGACAAAUAGUCCUUUUUUUUUUUUUUUCCUUUAAAUGCGCCCCAUCGUGGUAACCAAAACAUUUUAAAGCAAAAAUACAACCAGCUCAAACUUAGGGCUACUUUCGGAAAGAAACUUCACGUGUAAUAUUUACAAAGUUACAUAUUUUUAAGCUGCUUCAUGAUUUUGGCAAUCUUUUUUUUUUUUUUUUUCAUCAUAAAGGAAAUGUUUAAUCACUGAAUUUUUAUAACACUAAUAUUUAUGAUUUUUAUUUAAGGUUUUGUUUUUAUAAUAAUUGCCACCAAGUGCUGUGUGCCAGGCACUAUGUUACAAGCAUUUAACAUACUGAUUUCCAUAUUGAUUUAAAUCUUCUCCCGCCCCACCCCUCCCUUAUGAAAUAUAGGUACUGUCAGUCACAUUUACACAUGAAGGAGUAUACGGAGAGGUUAAGAAACUUGCACAAGGUCACACAGCCAAUAAAUGGUGAUCCAGAAUGCCAGCACAGGUCUGUGCUAAAGUCUAAAGUCAGACUAAAGUCCAUCCAUGGUCUUAACCAUUAGGCCUGUAUUGUCUUCUAGCACACCUGCUUAGAAUUUCACAUUUAAAUAAUCCCCUUUGAUUCACAAUGUAAAAAGAGCAAGCGUUUAAGAAAUACUCUUAACCUGUCACUUUAUUAGAAUUAAAAAUGUUUCCAAUUCAUAAGCCAGAGCACUUUUUUCCUUCAUAUUGGCCCAUAUGGAAAAGGAGCAAAGAUAGUUUAUUUCUGUCUCCAUGGCUUCAUAUUUUUACAAACCUUUCUAGGAUGCUACAACAGAGCAGCUAUAUUCUAAAAGUUUAAUUGAAGAACACACAUUCUUUAUGUGUUCUGAUGAUGAAAUGUGAUUGUGCACAGUAAGAAAACAAAUGACUCCACUGAAGGAAAGAGCAGGACACUGGCAACUUUGUUUCUGGAAAUGUGUUCAUGAAUUACUUCACUAAUUAAGGAUAAGAAUAAAAAGUGCCUUAGAGGCCAUAAAUCCAUAUAACAAGUUUAAAAUCCAAAUUUAAGCAUUGGCCAAAUUCCAUUUUGAGAGUGAUUUUUUUUUUUUCUUUUUUAAAUGUUUGUUUAUUUUGAGGGAGGGGGGAGAGACAGAGGGAGAGGGAGAAUCCCAAGCAGGCUCCCCAGUGCAGGGUUUGAGCUCACAAACCUUGAGAUAAAACUGACUGAGCUACUCAGGUGCCCCCGAGUGAUUUUCUUUUUAAACCUAAGUUUCCCUGUCUUCCCUAUCUUACUUGGUUUUAACUUGAUUGCAUUAUGCAGGUAAACUGGAGUUAUACCCAAGAUCUUUCUGGAUACAGGAGCAAGUAUAUUAAAAGAUUUGUCAUUAUCUUGAAGUUAAAAGGCAAAAUUAAAGGGACUUGAUAAUGAUAAAUAUUGUGCCAGACCUCAAGUAUUUACAUUAAGUAGUAAAGGUAUUGUUAUUCUUUUUUCAUUACUCCUUUUCAGGCCCCUAGAAGAUCAAGAUUUGCAACACCCUUCCAGAGCCAACAUCAACAAACUCAAAUUAUGUAUAUCCCUAAGUAGUUGCGUGUUCUAAUCCAGUAGUUAUUUUUCUUUUCCCUCAUAUAAAAGAAAUUAAACAAAAAACUUGAGCAGCUUCAGGCACCCUUGGAGUUAAACUGGAGGAUGCACUGGGCCUACAUUACUUUUACAUAUAGCAGAAUUACUUCUAGAUACUUUUUUUUUUUUUUUAACGUUUUUUCAUUUUUGAGAGAUGGAGAGGGACAGAGCAUGAAUGGGGGAGGUUCAGAAAGAGAGGGAUACAGAAUCUUAAGCAGGCUCCAGGCUGUCAGCACAGAGCCUGAUGCAGGGCUCGAACCCACAGACCGUGAGAUCAUGACCUGAGCUGAAAUUGGACGCUUAACCGACUGAGCCACCCAGGCACCCCACCUCUAGAUACUUUUGCCUAUCAACUAGAUUGGUCUAAUAUUUAAUUACAACCCUCAGUGCAGCAAAAGUGACUUAAAAAAAUCAUACAUUAAAUGUCCUUCUAAAAAGUGCAUACAGUUAUAAGAACAGAAAUAUAAAUAGGUAAUUUACCUGGUUAUUGUAGAAUAUGAUAAAGUGAGUAUUCUCAUAUACUGCUGGUAGACCUGAAACUUUGGGAAAUUAGUUACACCUCAAAAAAAAAAAAAUUCUUUCUCUUUGACAUAGUAAAUUAGGAAGGAGUUAAGUGCAGCUGGGGGUGGGGAGAGGAUAAGAAAAGAGGAAUGGGAAGGAUUAAAGUCAGGAGACAUUUUGAAAUGGUAGUAACUGGAGAGUAAAGAUAGGGUAGGUAGUCUUUACAAGUACAGUGUCAGGAGUCAAGAAUUUGCAUUGCAGCCCUGAUAUAUAAUGUUUACCUGGCUUUGCACACUCAGGUAUUAUAAGUAAUCUGUCUGAGUCUCAUUUUCCUUAUAAAUGGUCAUGACAGUACUUUCCUUAGUUGGUUGUUCCGAGAACUAAAUGAUGCAGAGUACAUGAUUUGCUUGCUUUUAUAUAAUAGGUGUGAUACAUGCUCGCAAGAUCUAAAAUAUAAAAUUACCAGAUUUUUAUUGGGUGCAAUGCCCAUCCCAAGUUAGUUUAAUUCCAGUUAACUCACUUGGUAUAAAGUACACUGACUUCUUCAGUUAGAGGUUAAUGGACUGAAGGUGUAGUUCUAGUAAUCAGAGCUACGGGCCAAUGAUAAAGAUCAAGAGUACUAUGAUACAAACCAACCUACAGGCUCUCAAUCCCCUUCAGUCCACCUCAAAGCUACAAUGCAGACCUUGAGAUCUCUAUUCCUGGACAUGAAAUAAUAAAAUAGUUCACCUUCAGGUAACUCAAGAAUGCACUGAUUUCUCAGAAGCCAUAGGCAUGACAGUAACUCCUACCCAACUUGGAACCUCAUUAUUUUACUGCUUUGUGGCCAUUAUGUAAGUAAGUACUCCGUUAGAGGAACAGAGAAAUAUUUUCUUUUCUGAUUUGGUUUUUAAGAGUAAAUUCAGAACAGUUUUCCCCUGAAACAGUUCAACACAGAAUAUUAACUAGCAUUAGUUAUAGAUUCUUAGCUUUGUGAAGAGAUGGACUGUCUUUUACUCACCAUUAUAUCCCCAGUGUUCAUAUAGUGCUUAUUACAGACUGGGCUCCCAAUAAAUACAUGUUAAAUAACAAAUACCACAAAGCCUUUGUUCAUUUCGUGAUGGCUGGUUAAAUGGGCAGCAUCUGCCUCUCACCUGGUACAUCCCAUAUGAACUCUCCCUGCUUCACUAGCAAUCCCUAGUCUGUUCUCCAUUCACCAGCAUAAAGGAUCCUUUGCCACAGUACUUUGAGCAGGUCAUUCUAAUGCUCAAAGCCCACCCAAGUUACAGCAUCACAUGAUACAAUCACAAGUCCUUGUCCUGGCACGAUCUAGCUCCCCGUCUAUCUCUGAUUUCCUCUCUAAUCACUCUCUCUCCACCCCAGUACCAUACUGGCCACAAGCUCUUUACUGUUCCCUGAAUAUGUCACACUGUUGUCUCAAGACCUAUGUAGUUCUCUUCCUCUGGCUGCAGUGUUCUCCCUUUCCCUUCACCCCUGUUUAUUCUCUGUUCAAAGUGUCCUCAGAGAAGUCUUCCCUGUCUUUUCUAAAAUAGUAUCCCAUCUCCUCUCCCAUCACUCAUUUGUUUUUCUUUAUUGCACUUACUGCUAUAUGACUUUAUUUUUUAUUUGUUCAUUUGCCCCCACUAAGCUCCACAAAGGCUGGAUUUUUUUUUUCUUUUUUAUUUAUUGCAGCUUCCCUAGCACCUAGAAGAGUGCCUGGCACAGAGUAAAAGUACUCAGUAAAUAUUUAUUGAAGGAAUAUAUGAAUAACUACCCAAGUUAUUCCCAGGAAAUCCUGAUUUCUGCCUCCAAUUGCUCAUCAGAAGACCUGAUCACAUAAAUCUAAGUGCAAAAGGCUAAAUAUUUUUAUAUAAUGUACAUAAAUUCUGUAGAUCCUGACUGAUGGAGUAAAGCUGGCCUCAGAUUUUACUAUCCAGGUCCAAUGUUGAAUAUGCCAGCCAGCUCUAAAGACAACAAAAGUACUGUAAAGAUUAUAAUGUUUUGCACAGUGGCAAUAUCUGAUCUUGUGGCUACUGAUCAUCAGAUGAUAUACAAGAAGGAAGAGCUCACUGUACUAGGAGAUACAGGAGAAGGGUUCUUAGAGAGGGACUAGGGUCAGGCCUUCAAGAUAAUCUGGAUUUAGAAAAACUAAGGAGGAAGAUACUAAUGGGAGAAUAACGGUUGAAAAGCGUUUGCAAAGAAGAAAUAAACAUAGCAGAAUCAGUUAUGCAAGGUUAGAGAUAAAGAGCAGUGGAAAAUAAGGUUGGAUGAGUGUGGUGGAGACAAAUUAUGAAAAGCUGUGAAUACUAACAGGACUCUGAAAUGACUUCUUAGGCCAUAGAGAUCAAUUGAAAGCUUUCAAGCAGAGGAAUGAUUGAUGUAUGAAACAGCAUCUUAACAACUGUUGAUCAGUGUGCUGAAGGGACCCAGGCCUGGGAUACAGAGCUCAGUGAGCCUAAAGACAGUAAGACUGACUAGAUUGUCACUCCCAAGGUUCAAUUAACAAACUGAUGAAGGGCUUGCAUGAUACAGUGGUAACAAGAAUGGAUAGAGAUGCUCUGAUCCAAUAAUCAUUUUGAAAGAACAACUCAUUGAAUCUGGGGACUAGGCGUAGGUAAUAAAAGAGAGGGGGUAAAUCAAAGAUGAUGUAUGUAAUUUUAAAUGAUGGCUGUUUGCUUAACUUUUAAGUGUUUUAUUUGGCAUUAGGAUACAACAGGAGCAGGAGAGGGAAUGGAAGCAAAUUAACAGGCUGGCAAUUUCUUUUUUAAAUCAAGAAUGGGGCCCCUGGGUGGCUCAGUCAGUUAAGCGUCCGACUUCUGCUCAGGUCAUGAUCUCACAGUCUGUGAGUUCAAGCCCCGCGUUGGGCUCUGUGCUGACAGCUCAGAGCCUGGAGCCUGCUUCGGAUUCUGUGUCUCCCUCUCUCUCUGACCCUCCCCCGUUCAUGCUCUGUCUCUGUCUCAAAAAUAAACAAAUGUUUAAAAAAAAUUUUUUUUAAUAAACCAAGAAUGGGUAAGUUAAUUCUAAAUAAUAAAGAGAUGGUUAGUGUUUUGUGAUUAUAUUUUAUCCUGAAAUAAUGUGCAACUGUUACUAAAGAUUAAUUAUAGCCUGAACAACAUGUGCAGCUUAUUUAGACCACAGUGUGUCAGAAUGCACUCUCUCUGCAAAGGUAGAGUAUCUAGACUUUCUCACUGGAUCACACAUUUUAUUGUAAUAUAAGAAAUGUUGUAUUGUGAUGGGAAAUCUUACUUUCCAUGGAAAUAUAUAUAAAUUACAUUUGCCCUACAUUAGAAAUUCUUUGAAAAUGGGAAUCACAUUUCUGAUCCGUAAGUUUUUUAAAAUGUCCAUUAUAAUAACAGACGUACAUGGACAUUUACAUGGCAAACAUAGAAUAAGUGCCUGCUUGACACCAUGAAUUAUAUUAAAGCAGAGGUUAAAGGAAGAAUAGGGACUUAGAGGUAAACAAAGCAGGGACGUAUGGGUGGCACAGGAAGUAGCCCAUGUGGCUAGAAUGUAAGAUGCAAAGAGAAUGGGAUGAGGUGAGGGGUAAAAGCCAGGCUCAGACCAUAAGACCCUUAGGCUUAAAGUAGAAGUUUGACUUUAUUCUUACAUAUAAAUGAUUCUCAGAAUAAACCAUGGAGGUUUUCUUGCUGUAUAUCAGUAUGGACAGGGGGUUCUGAUCUCCCAACACCAAACACAGUAGCUGGUCAAAUAUAUGCUGACUAAUGCAGAAGGGAAAACAGUUUGGGACAUAAUUAAGUGUGAAGAUUGUAUAGGUUAUCUAGGCAGAGAUGUCUAUUAGCUAACUGGAGACACGGGACUGGCCUGGAGCUUAGAAGAAAGGUCUGGGUAGGACAUAAAAGCAUGGAUGUCAUCUGAAACAGCUCACUAGGAAGAGGCAAGAACUAAGGAGAAGAUAAUCUGAUAUAAAGCCCACAGAUCUGUGCCUAGCACACAAAACUCUCAAAUGUUUGCUGUUAAGCAGUGAACCAAAAGAUAAAUGGCAGCAAAGGAGCCUCCUGUUUUACAGAAGAACAACACUAAAAGUACUGAUGACUGACCAGAAGCAGUGCUACCAAAUGCCUACUCAACCCACGACAUGCCAGGACAGAGAAACAGACAUAUAAGAGAAGUUACUGAUGGCAGUGAAUUGCACAUGUAAAGUCUAUGGCAAUAUAAAGCAGACAAAGGUUGAGAAUCUCUGGACCACAGCAUACCUUUUUUACCCCUGGAGGGCAGAAACUGUAACCUAACUUUGUGAAAGUUUCUUCCUGAUUGUGGCCAACAUGGAACCAGUUAAACGUGUGUUUAAUUACUAAAAUGAGUCACACAAGAUGACCAGCCUGUGAAAGUUUGCUGACAUAAUACUAUUGGAUGGAGAAAAACAUCUUUAAAAAAAAUUCAUAAAAAUAGGUCAUGGAUUAAGAGGCCAAAUGGAGCAAUAUACAUGCAAACAUUUCCCAUAACAGAGUACUAAACAAAUGUGCUUUGUAUGGUUAGAAAACAAUUCUGAGUACUUGAGAGGAAUAACCAUCUAAUAAGACCUAAAGCAGACACUGUCACAUAACAACUUCACAUUUCUUUUUCUUCAGAAGUUAAGACAUCCUGAAUAUAGUUAACAAAAGCCUAGACUUGCUUAGUUCUGGUCUACAAUAAUCUGUACUUGAAAAGUCAUGAUUUUGUCAUUUGUACUUGAAAAGUCAUGAUUUUCUUCUCCUAUCUUAGAGGUACUUAGUGCAGGUAUUAUCAGAGGUAGGUUAAGUGGUUAGCUCGAGGUCACACAUCUAGUCAUAAAACCAAGUCUUUUGGUUCCAAAUCUUGUAUUUCCACCAUACCAUUUUGCUGACUUCCUAAAAAUUAACUGCUGACUUGCACACCGCUAUGGGAUUCAUAAGAACUACUCCCACCCCUCCAGUUGUUAUGGCUGUGAUACAAAUUGCCAAAGUUUAUCUGUGGUAGAAGAAAACCCAGGAACCAGCUAUAGGAAAGGAAAUAACUUGUGACUUCAGCGGAACUUGGGGGCCCUCUAUAAUUCCUAAAAUGGAACAAUUCCUGCAGAAAGAAGAGGUAAUAUAAUGAACAUUGUUCACUGAUUUCUACUGGAUUUCUACUAGACCCAGUAAGAUAUGUAAUUCCUUUUUUUUUUUUUAAUGAGAGAAGUUUUCAAACAUGCACAAGAUUAAAAGACGACUACAUAUUACCAUCACUGAGUUUCAGCAAUUCUCAAUAUACUAUUUUUGUUAGAUCCACCUUUUACUUUUUUCCUUAAGAUUUUGUUUUUGCUUUUUUGUUGUUUUUUUUUUUAGAGAAAGAGAAAGCAUGAGUGGGAUAGAGGGGCAGAAGGAGAGAAUCCUAAGCAGGCUCCACGCUCAGUGCAGAGCCUGAUGAAGGGCUCAAUCCCAUGACCCUAGGAUCAUAACCUGAGCUGAAAUCAAGAGUUGGACGCUCAGCCAUCUGAGCCACCCAGCCCUUAAGUAUGUUAAAGCAAACAUUGAGACAUAACAUUUUAGCAACACAUACUUUAGUAUGUGUCUCUAAACGAUAAGGACAUUAAAAAAACCACAGUACUAUUAUCACAUCUAAAAAAAUGAACAGUAUUUUCUUAAUAUCAUCCAGUACCCAAGGCAUAUUCAGUUUCCUCAGUUGCCUCAAAACAGAUAAUUUUUUACAGAUAUUUACUCAAACUAGGAUCCAAGCAGCAUCCAAACAUUGCACCUGGUUGGUAACUUGUCUCUUUUAAUCUAAAAAUACUGUGCCCCCAUUGUGUAUCUUAUUUGUUAAAUAAACUCGGUCCUUUGUCCCGUAAA